Molecule: ribosomal RNA, 301 nt
Filed under: uncultured bacterium
Lineage: Bacteria
Description: partial 16S ribosomal RNA
Rfam family: Bacterial small subunit ribosomal RNA
Source: RNAcentral
CAGUCGCCGCGGGAAUACGUAGGUGGCAAGCGUUGUCCGGAUUUAUUGGGCGUAAAGCGAGCGCAGGCGGUUCCUUAAGUCUGAUGUGAAAGCCCCCGGCUCAACCGGGGAGGGUCAUUGGAAACUGGGGAACUUGAGUGCAGAAGAGGAGAGUGGAAUUCCAUGUGUAGCGGUGAAAUGCGUAGAUAUAUGGAGGAACACCAGUGGCGAAGGCGACUCUCUGGUCUGUAACUGACGCUGAGGCUCGAAAGCGUGGGUAGCAAACAGGAUUAGAUACCCCUGUAGUCCCUGUCUCUUAUAA